This 483-nucleotide ribosomal RNA is filed under the name uncultured bacterium. RNAcentral's name for it is "partial 16S ribosomal RNA". It matches the Rfam family "Bacterial small subunit ribosomal RNA", at positions 30 to 507 of the family's 1533-position model. The record is from RNAcentral.
AUUGAACGCUGGCGGCAUGCUUUACACAUGCAAGUCGAACGGCAGGGCGGGCUUCUGCCUGGCGGCGAGUUGCGAACGGGUGAGUAAGUCAUCGGAAGUGCCCCGUAGUUUGGGAUAGCCCUGCGAAAGCCGGAUUAAUACCGCAUACGACCUGAGGUUGGAAGCGUGGGGUCGAAAGGCCUCGCACUAUUGGAGCGUCCGAUGUCGGAUUAGCUAGUUUGUGUGGUAAAGGCUUACCAAGGCGACGAUCCGUAGCUGGUCUGAGAGGACGACCAGCCACACUGGGACUGAGACACGGCCCAGACUCCUACGGGAGGCAGCAGUGGGGAAUUUUGGACCAUGGGGGCAACCCUGAUCCAGCCAUGCCGCGUGCGGGAAGAAGGCCUUCGGGUUGUAAAACGCUUUUGUUCGGGAAGAAAUCCUCUGGGCUAAUACCCCGGGGGGAUGACGGUACCGGAAGAAUAAGCACCGGCUAACUACGUG